RNAcentral lists this ribosomal RNA (498 nucleotides) under Dialister pneumosintes. Its description in RNAcentral is "bacterial SSU rRNA". It matches the Rfam family "Bacterial small subunit ribosomal RNA", at positions 28 to 491 of the family's 1533-position model. The record is from RNAcentral. Lineage: Bacteria; Bacillati; Bacillota; Negativicutes; Veillonellales; Veillonellaceae.
GACGAACGCGGCGGCGUGCUUAACACAUGCAAGUCGAACGGAAAGAGAUGAAAGAGCUUGCUCUUUUAUUAAUUUCAGUGGCAAACGGGUGAGUAACACGUAAACAACCUGCCUUAAGGAUGGGGAUAACAGACGGAAACGACUGCUAAUACCGAAUACGUUCUAAGCAUCGCAUGGUGCAUAGAAGAAAGGGUGGCCUCUACAAGAAAGCUAUCGCCUUAAGAGGGGUUUGCGACUGAUUAGGUAGUUGGUGAGGUAACGGCUCACCAAGCCGACGAUCAGUAGCCGGUCUGAGAGGAUGAACGGCCACACUGGAACUGAGACACGGUCCAGACUCCUACGGGAGGCAGCAGUGGGGAAUCUUCCGCAAUGGACGAAAGUCUGACGGAGCAACGCCGCGUGAACGAAGAAGGUCUUCGGAUUGUAAAGUUCUGUGAUUCGGGACGAAAGGGUUUGUGGUGAAUAAUCAUAGACAUUGACGGUACCGAAAAAGCAAGC